Molecule: non-coding RNA, 121 nt
Organism: Picea glauca (white spruce)
Lineage: Eukaryota; Viridiplantae; Streptophyta; Pinopsida; Pinales; Pinaceae
Source: Rfam
ACAUGCUUACAACAUAGCGUUAAUGCACAUGAUCUAAUUAGAACUCCGUAGUUAAGUGCGCUCAGGCUAGAGUAGUAUUGGGAUGGGUGAUUACCCGAGAAGUCCUAGUGUUUGACAUGCC